CAGAGGAUUAAGCACCAGACUUCACAAAUGUGCCAAAGUAUAACCCAAAUCUCUCAAAAUGUUCGGAUUAGUCAUUGCCUUGUACAUAUAAUUAAUAGUGCAGAUUUUCUGUUUUACAAAAAUCUAAAGGGCCUCCCCACGCAAACACGUGGGAAGUGAUUGAAGGAAGAAACAGAAGUUCAUUUGCCGAACAUACGCGUCCCAGUAAUGCAGGAGACGAUUACAGUUUCCCUACUCUGGAUUAUAUGCUUACAAAUAUGAACGUACGAUUCCUAAUCCAAUGAAAAGGUGCCACCACAAUACCCGUUGCUGAACUUCUCAACAGCAUCAGAGGCAUAAAGAAGUGUUUCAUUGGCUUUUUCUAGAACCAUAUAAAGCUCCUUGCCUCUCAUAGUGUGAGCAAUAACCCAGGCAUUGUUUUUUGCUCUAAUGCAUAUUUC
RNAcentral lists this unclassified non-coding RNA (440 nucleotides) under Hevea brasiliensis (rubber tree). Lineage: Eukaryota; Viridiplantae; Streptophyta; Magnoliopsida; Malpighiales; Euphorbiaceae. The record is from RNAcentral.